GGAGGAAUACCCAAGUCCGGCUGAAGGGAUCGGUCUUGAAAACCGACAGGGCUUAACGGCUCGCGGGGGUUCGAAUCCCUCUUCCUCCACCA
Molecule: transfer RNA, 92 nt
Filed under: Staphylococcus aureus
Lineage: Bacteria; Bacillati; Bacillota; Bacilli; Caryophanales; Staphylococcaceae
Description: tRNA-Ser
Rfam family: tRNA
About the family: Transfer RNA (tRNA) molecules are approximately 80 nucleotides in length. Their secondary structure includes four short double-helical elements and three loops (D, anti-codon, and T loops).
Source: RNAcentral